UGAGUAACCUGCCCUUCACUCUGGGAUAACUCCGGGGAAACCGGGGCUAAUACUGGAUAUGACUCGAACAGGCAUCUGUUUCGGGUGGAAAGAUUUAUUGGUGGAGGAUGGACUCGCGGCCUAUCAGUUUGUUGGUGAGGUAAUGGCUCACCAAGGCGACGACGGGUAGCCGGCCUGAGAGGGCGAUCGGCCACACUGGGACUGAGACACGGCCCAGACUCCGUACGGGAGCA
Molecule: ribosomal RNA, 233 nt
Filed under: uncultured bacterium
Lineage: Bacteria
Description: partial 16S ribosomal RNA
Rfam family: Bacterial small subunit ribosomal RNA
Source: RNAcentral